Molecule: ribosomal RNA, 470 nt
Filed under: uncultured bacterium
Lineage: Bacteria
Description: partial 16S ribosomal RNA
Rfam family: Bacterial small subunit ribosomal RNA
Source: RNAcentral
GACGAACGCUGGCGGCGUGCUUAACACAUGCAAGUCGAACGCUGAAGCACCAGCUUGCUGGUGUGGAUGAGUGGCGAACGGGUGAGUAAUACGUGAGUAACCUGCCCUUGACUCUGGGAUAAGCCCGGGAAACUGGGGCUAAUACUGGAUGCUACAUGUCACCGCAUGGUGGUGUGUGGAAAGGGUUUACUGGUCUUGGAUGGGCUCACGGCCUACCAGCUUGUUGGUGAGGUAAUGGCUCACCAAGGCGACGACGGGUAGCCGGCCUGGGAGGGUGACCGGCCACACUGGGACUGAGACACGGCCCAGACUCCUACGGGAGGCAGCAGUGGGGAAUAUUGCACAAUGGGCGAAAGCCUGAUGCAGCGACGCCGCGUGAGGGAUGACGGCCUUCGGGUUGUAAACCUCUUUCAGCAGGGAAGAAGCCACAAGUGACGGUACCUGCAGAAGAAGCGCCGGCUAACUACGUG